Long non-coding RNA from Cygnus olor (mute swan), 8404 nucleotides. RefSeq lists it as uncharacterized. The transcript has 6 exons. The record is from RefSeq and is a predicted model, not a curated record. Lineage: Eukaryota; Metazoa; Chordata; Aves; Anseriformes; Anatidae.
GUUCCGCUGUCUUGGGAAACUAAGUGCCUGGAAUACAAGAGCUGAGGUCUAAUUUUUUUCUCUAUUUCCUAUGACAAAUGAGUGAGGAGUGUGAGGGCUAGGUUGCUAUUGCUUGAGUUGUUCAGGAGACCAGCUGCAGUGUCCUGUCCUAGCUAAGGUUUGCUAACAGUGAUUGCUGUAUGCCCAAGUAAAUUGCAUUGUUUUAAUCCACUUAGGUUAUGACUAAGGGACUUAAUACUUAGGCAUGGUCAUAAUUCACAAAGAUGGGAUAGUUAUGUUAGUCCUGCCAAAAGGGUGAAUUCAGUUGAGAAAGGCAAAAAUAAGAGUACAGAUGCUAUUGCAGCUGGACGCAAUGUAUAAAUUUAAUAUACAGAGCUAAUACAUUCAAAGGGAACAGACAGUCUCUUUUCACAGAAUUCCUUUUGCAGAUCUCAGUUUCAUUUUGCAGCCCAUUUCCAUCUCCAAUUACAAAUGUAGCUCUGGACUGUGAUUUUAUCUCAGCCUAAACUUAACUCCAGGCUGAUCUCUAGGUCAGGGACCACACUGUGCUGAGAGACUAAAUACUGCUCAGAGGAAAUAUUAGCAUCAUCCCUUAGUUUGCUUUGAGUUGUACUUUCUAACCCACAUACAUACCCUUUUGCUGUUAACGCUGACCUUGGGCUCAUUCAUAGGCAAGUCAUAGUGACUCCAGCUCUUUCCCAGGUCUCCUCCCCAACACACACACACACAAAAACCUGCACAUUUGCUGGUUCUCUAAAAAAUCUGUAAAACUAGAACUGAAAUAUAGCAAAGAUAUGACCUAUUGUCUAGGUGGAUAGAAGGUACCUAUAAUAACUACUGACACAUUUCUGUUACUUUAAUGCAUACCUUAAAAUUGUUUUUGAAAGCCAAGGUAAGUCAUGGAGAGAUGAGAAAAAUGGGCUAAAAUGUAAUUUAGAAAAAGGUGGGCUAGACCACAGCAAGCUGCUUUCUUUCCUUUAUAAGAUGUUCUUUCUUGGUAUAAAAGAAAAUGUGUUAGGUCCGAUACGUAUUUCAGUAAAUCAUGAUACCAAAAUGAUCUGAUUAGUUGAAGAAAGAGGAUGUAGUGAUUAUUUACAAGAAUCUGAAGCCAAAUGAAAGGAGACUAGCCUUACCCAGUGUUUUUGUUAACAACCUUAAAAAGAAGAAAUAGGUAAGUGAAAUUUAUUGCUGAUACAAAAUUGUGAGGUCUUAGUAGUAUCAGAGAGUACCAGAAUAUUAUGAAAGAAGAACUGGAUGACCUUUAGCAUAGAGUUAAUAAAGACAAGAAGAAAUCCAACAGAGCAAAGCAAAAAGUUUGUGUACUUUGUUGUUCUGUAUAAAGUAGGAAUAACUGGAUGCACUCACACGAGAGGAAAAGGAAAACUUUACUAUUCCUCACUCACAAAAUGACUCAAUCGAGAAUGUAGUACAGCCAUGAAAAAGCAAAAGUCUUUCUUGGAAGUAUUAAGGGUGGUAUUACUGGUGAAGGUAAGGAAAUAUGCAAGUUGCUGUACAUGUCAGUUAAGACAUCACCCAUCAUCAUAUCUGCAGCUUUUAGAAUUAUUGCUUAAGCAAGAUUUAUUCAAACCGGGACUGGAUUACAGGAAAAGAGAAUAUUUGGUGAGUUAUACUAAAAGACUUCAAGUUUUUUAAAUAGCAACUUUCAGAACAGUUUCUGCUCCAGGAUGGGAGACCAGCUGAAACAAAAUAAAAAGUUUGGGCAGAAACAGUUAGCUGAAACGUCUUCCUGUGUGCAGGGAUGGGGGAAGGCAAAUAAUGAACAGCCAGACUUCAACUGAGGUUCCAGAGCAGGAAUAUGGGGCACCAUCUGUGAAGACAGGGUUUAAAUUUAUGAAUGGCAUUAUGCUGUGUUAUAAUUAUGUGUAAAUUAUACCUGUUUAUGUUAGGUGCUAUAGAGUCUCUGUUUCUGGGUUGAACAGAAUGCAAAGAACAGUACAGACAUAACUUCAUUAUGAAUUAGAAGUAAAAUGUGUUUUGGGUUAUGGAAAGAGAUUUUUACAAGAAUGAUUUCCAAUGAGCUUGUGUUUGAGGAACAGGAUGACAUUUCUAGCUCUGCCAAUUAUAUCCUGUUUGAUAAUCUAUACCGUGCUUAUUUCUCUGUCGAUUAGGAAUAACAACAUAAAAUGAGAGUAAAUUAAUUCUCAUUUUAAAAUGCUUUUAUAUAUCAAGAAAAUUCCUAUAAAAAUAGGUAUGGCAAUUAAUUUGGGAGGGGAGGAGGGAUUUCUUCUGUCUGUCGUGUCUUUGCAGUUUAUUGACUAAUCUGUGUUUUUAAUCUCAUUCUGAAAUACACCCUGUAUUUUAACAGUUUAUUGCAAACAUGUUUAUUCUAUCUCAUGGUCACAGUCUCUUGCUCUCUAAAAGCAAUGGAAAUUUUACUGACAUUUUACUAAGGAACCUGAUGUAGGGGGUGGCAUCACUGCCUAUGGAAGGGGGGUUGGAACUAGAUGAUCUUUGAGGUCCCUUCCAACCCAGGCCAUUCUAUGAUUCUAUGAUCAUUAGGUUGUAUUUCUCCUGUUCAUAUGUAUGGAAGUUCGAUAGACAAUUUUGUCCAGGUCAAAAACUUUGGGGAGCUUAAUGCAGUGAGCUUGGGAUGGUUGAUGUGGCUAUUGAAAGCCUAGAGAUAAAGUUUUGCUUUGCACAGCAUGCCAGCUAACAGUUGCAACUCAGGUCAGACAUCAGCUCUAACUGUUAUAUGGAAAUCAUGUCCGUAUGGUGAAGGAAUCAGGUAGUUUGUACUCACAACUAAAUGUGCUGUACUAUAUGUAAUGGCAAAUCUGUUACUAGAGAAGGUAUGGAUGCAUCAUUAUUAAGGCAUUAAAACCAUAGCAACAAAACACCACAUUAUUAGUAUUGAUGGAGGUGAAUUGUCAGUUCACGUCAUUUGUUAUGCUUUGCUGCUGGUAAAGGUGUUUGAGUACUGCAUGCUCUAUAGCUUAGUGACCUGGAGAGACAUGGAUUUUCACACAGUGUCUCCAGUUUACUUCAUAGGUAGCAGAAAGAAAUGGCCUGAGGAUUUUCCUAGCAUCUGUCAUUUAAGGAAAAAAAUGACUCCUCUGAGCUCCGUCCCUUCUUCACCUGCUCUCUUGACUCACAAAGUGCCAUCUCUACACUGACAGAAGAAAAGCCCUGUGAAAAGAAAAUACCAAAAUGCAAAUUCUUACAUUCUGCCCUUGUGGAGUGUUCACUGUUAUGCUUCCUCCCAAGGUUUUGGGUUUUGUGCCUUAGUCUGGAGGAAAAGAGAACUGGUAUAAUGUUUAGUGAGCAAAGUGAGCUUUGGUGAGGUUUUUCAACAGACAGUCUACCGACUGUCCAGUGUAUUUCUGGGACACAGUGAGAGCAAGGGAUUGGGGCUAAAUGGAUUGUGGAAGAUGACCUCAUGAUAUUUAAGAGAGUCUGAGUUUUGCUAGAUGAUUUAUAUAAGAGAAGUUGCUUUAUUUUAUUUAUUUAUUUGGUUAGUUAUUUGUUUUUUCCCCCAUAGCUAUGUUUAUAGAAACGUGGGCUGGAAUUCGAAGACUUUGUUUAAAAAAAAAAAAAAAAAAGAAAAAAGACCUAAUUCACGUUAAUAAGACAUUACCGCAAAUCUGCUGUAAAGUGGACAUUUAUCAGCAAUGUGAAUGAAAAGUCCUAUCAACUGCAUCUGAAGAGGUACAGAUAAUCCUAGUGGAUACAGUGCAACGUUGCAAGGUUAUAACAUGCAGCUAAAUAAAUGAUAGUAAAACUAGACUGAAUUUGUUUAAAAGACUGUCUUGUUUUCCAAAUAUGAUUUUAAAGGCCAUUUUGUUUGUCUUUCACAAAACCUUCUAUUUGUCUUUGGAAGGCUGACUCUGGACACAAUAAGCAGAGAUUGUAAGCAGAGAUUCUUAUAUAAUUAGUGAAAAAUCUUCCAUUAACAUGAAAGGUACCAAGUUGUUUCAUGAGGUGUUUCUAAUAUUUUCAGAAGAAAUAUUUCUGCUCUGGAUGAAGGCAAGAAUGGCAACUGCACCUGUGGUGGAUGACCUGCUUUUCAGAUAAAAUCAUUUUCAGAUUAAAACUGAGGGCACAGCUACUAUGCAUGCAGAUAAGGACUAGAUUAUUCCCAGAAGGCUCCUUCUUUUGCUCCUAAUUUCAAGAGGAAAAUGUCAUCAACACUAUUCACUACUAUAGAUAUGAGAAAAACUGAGAAAGGACAAAUCCUCCAGAUGAUGAAGAGGUGUAGGAUUGAAAGAGAAAAUUAGUGCAGAGAGCAGAUCAUAAUUCUUUUGAUAGGCAGGGGAAAAUGGCUGUUUUUGCUCAAUGCUAUCCUAUCCUAAUAUUAUUUUUUAGCUGAUUUAAACAUUUAAUGACCACAAUGUCUUGCACUCUGAGACCUCAAAAAUACUUCUGUUUUCUUUCCCCAGUUCAAAGCAUGUGGUUUUCAAAGUAUUAUAAAUAUGCUAAAAGAUUCAUCAGCCCAUUUUCUACCUCUAUAAUGGCUUUGUCUAUAUGUAAUGAAGUGAAAAAAGUUAUUUAUGGAAUCAAGAAAAAGUGAAAAAAAGUUUGAGGAUGAUGAUUUUUGCUAAUUUAAUUCUAACUUGCUCUUUGAAUCUUUCCUCCUUUCGUUUUCAUGUAAUAGCAGUUUAUUUACUAUAGCAGUAUAUUACUGCAAUAGUAGAUAUCUAAGUGUUUUCUUCUAACCUAAAAAAAAAAACAACACCAACAACAAAACAAACAAAAAAACACAUUCAAAGGAAGUAGAAAAUUCAAGGUGUGCUCCUGCUACUUUUUGGGCAACACACUAGAGGUGUUUGCUCCACUUGUGCUUGCUAUUUGCGUUAGAUGAGAGAACUGUCUGAUCGACAUCUACCUGCAGGUUCCAGAGUGUUGCAUUUCACUUCUGCUGAGAGAAAAACGCCUCCUGCACUAUCUGAGGUAUUCUCUGUUAUGACUCCUUUAGUUGUGUUUUAGAGUGUUGCCAUUGCAUUUGGCAAAAACAGGCUCAAGAAGUUUAUUUUGACACUGAAUUUUCUGAUGUUUUUGAUUUCAUAUCCUCAGAAACUCCCAAGUUCCUUGUGGUUUUGUGGGUUGUUUUCAUUUAUGACAAUGCUGUUGUGCUCAUCAGAGACAACUUUUCAUUCUUCCUAGAGCUCCAAGCAUUUCAAUUUUUACCAGAACAUGUGUUCUGCUGCACAAAGCUGAUCAAUAGCUACCUUGUGAAUAAAAAUAUAAGCCAACUUUGUGAACAUUUCUCAUAAAGUUCAACUUGGUUACAAUUGUUGGGAUGUUUUAAACCACUGUUUAUAUGCACUACAAAUACCUUUAUAAUUAGAAUCCAAUUAUGAAAAUGGAUACAGUAGUAAUGGACAUACCACUUAAAAUAAUAAAAAAUAAAAAGGCAAGAAAAAGAAAAUAGUUUUUUCUUUCAGGCUGCUUAAGUUUCAACUGGGAGUUUAUCCAAGAGGAACCGUGAAACAUCUGGCAAGCUGAGUUGAGUACCCAUGGUUCUGAAAUCUGAAACAUCCAUCUGAACCGAGGAUGUCAAAACAGCGGAGGAGUACUGGCAUUACUUUGUGGCUGCCUUACCAUGAUCUCAUGGACACUGGACACUUCAACUGGAAUAAGGAAUGCUAACAUAUAUUUCCUGUGCUGAGGUGUGCUGUAUUUGUGAGGCAGAAACUGAGUUCUGACUAAAAGGAGAGAGGAAUGAUCUCAGCAAAAGAAUGAAGAGGGAGAAGAAAACAAGACUCGUUCAAUCAUUAGGGGUUAGUGCUGCAAAGCUGCUCUGCAAAACAGAAAUGGAAUUGCAGAAGGACAUUAGGAAGUACAAGACUGCUUGUGGUCCUCCUGUUUUGACUCAGAUGUAGAACGACAAAUCCUUGGACAACAGAGAUAAUUAAAGAUCCAGUGAUAUUUCUGAAGAAUAAUGGUGCCAAUCCUUCAUCUUCAUUGGUUAAAUGCGGACAUCCAUGCAAUGACCAAAGUGAAACUAAUACUUUGUAUGACAAAAUAAGGUGGUGGCAUCUGUGCAAAGCAAGUGUCUCUGUUAUCAUCCUUCUCCCAAAUCCGUUAUAAAGAGUGUGAAGUAAGUAGUCCAGAGGGACUUAGCUGUACUGAUCGGGUGCUGAUUACAGUUCGGGUCUGCUAACUUCUUUGAUGUGCCAGCAUCCACAGCCUGUGGAUAAAAUAUGAUAAUGACAUCUCAUGAUUGGAUCAGGCAAUUCUCUUUGUGUACAGCCAAAGCAGAGCCAACAAGUCCAUGUUGAGAUACAACAAUAAACAGUGUUGUCAUUUUGUGCUACCCUUACUCAUCCUGCAAAUGCUUUCCUGCAUGUGCUUGUUAGCAGGGGCAAUAUUAAUAACACUGGGAGUAUACCUCUGACACGCUACAUGCAAAAAGCAAGGGCUAUCAGACUUUGUGACUGUUUCAGACAGUGUAACCACAAAUAAUCAGUCUGAGGGGUUGUGUACCCAGUAAAACAAUGGAGUGAGGUAAAAAGGCAUUGUGUACACAAAGUAGUUUCAGCUAAUUAACACAGCUUACAAAAUAAGAGCAGAGAUGUGGUAACCCAUGCUUUGUCAUGUGUCAGUACCAAGGUUAUGUAUUCAAUACUCUCCAAGAGUUUAUAUUCUCUAAGAGUAGCUAGCACAUGUCAAUGUCUCUUUGCGUCUGUAUCUUCAGCAAUGUGGUAGUUGGAUUAAGCAAUUCUAAGAAAGCCAGCUACGUUUUUCUGUGCAGAGAUGAAACCAAUAUAAUGGUUGGAAUUUUUUAUAUGGUGUAUGAAUUAUUGUGGUUUGUUCCUAUGAUUUCACAUGGCUUGAAUUAUAUUUCAUUGCUGUGUGGGUUUUAUACUAGUAUUUUGGAAUGACUGUGUGAUGCCCAUUUUUGCUAUAUGUGUAAUUCAAGAGGCUUUUUUCCAUAAUCAUCAUAGCAUUCCAUCUUGUUUCUGGGAUUUUGAAAUAUGUUUAAGAUUAGGUUAAUUAAAGUUUCAAGCACAGAAAGGCAUUGAUUUGCCUUGAUAAGAGUUAUCAGUCAGUAACUAAAUUAAAAAGGUUAUAUUUUUGUGAUCUUGGCAUAUCUGAAAGGCAUUAGGAUAAAAACUACCUGAUCUCUAGUCCUAGAUUCACUAUAAACACAUCGGAGAUAGGUACAAUACAAUUUUCUCCUACUCUGACCAUGGAUGAAGUUUGAAAUUAUAAAACUAACUUGACUCUCCUGCUUGAAACAAAGAGAGCUCCAUCUAUUGACACCAUCAUGGGAUCCUGGCCACAGCAGGCAGGAGGACAGACAUACAUAAAGGGCUCAUUUGUCUCCUUUUAUGUAUGCCUUAUGCAGUAAGAAAGAAAUAAUUUCUGUGCUGAGACUGAUAUAACAAACUGGUCCUGAGUUGUUUUUUCAGAUCCACAUUAUUAUUUGUGCUUUGGAAGCUUGCUUUGCAACCACAGACUUGGGCAUUUUUUUAAAAUUAUUUUUAUUUUUUCUUUAAUGCUGGCAGUCAUGGUACAGACGUCUUUAGAGAACAUUGUCACUUUUCCCACACAAUAUCUAUUUUUCGAUUAGUGACUGAUAGAUAAUUCAUUUUUGAUGCUUCUCUCUCUCCUCAGACUGUAGUGCCAUUGAUGGUAGUUUUCCGGUGGGAACAUUUGUUUACAAAGUGAAGUACUUAUAUGACCAAGCAUUUUCUAAAGUUCAUGUGAUAAUGAGUACUGACUUGAAUAUGCCUUGAUCCCCACAGUUCUGCAUUUCAUUGCAAUUUCCUGAACCCUCCAGCAUCUGCAUUGUUUAUUUUGAAACACAUAUGUAUGUCUUUCACACACUAUAUAUAUUGAUCUUUCAUGGGGUUUUUAGAAUUGCCUUUUGAGUUCAGUUUUACUGAAUUCCUACUGAAUUGGUUGGAGUCAAAUUUUGCCCAGAGGAUUUGGUUCAUUGGAUUGUGGUCUUCAACAAAUCUCCAGUCAUAAGUACUAUAGCCAGUUGCUAUAUUCUGAUGCUUUGGUAUUAGGAAGUAGAUUUUAAAGCAAUAUAAAUAAAAUGGCAAAGUCCAAGACACUUUCAUUUAAAAGAGUAGAAUGUUAUUGCUGUGUUAGCCAAGAAGAACAGCAUGUGGGGAAGUCAUGUCAUUUUAUAAUCUUUUCUUGCCAGAGAAGAUGCCUGUAAUUUUCAGCCAUUAUUUUCCUGUGUUUUACAAACAAAAUUAAGCUAUAGCAUUAUAUAUUGUUCUAGGUGCAACGUUUAUGUAACAUGUAAUUUAUGUAUGUCUCUCCUGAAUUUCUUUCCACAUCCUGUGUUGUCUCAUACUCACUCUCUACUGGAAAUAAAAAGAAUUGCUUCAUUGAUUUGCACUUGCUUUGUAAGUUCUUGAUUAGAUUAGAACAUUCCCUUUUCCAAUUUAUUUUAAGUUUGAGAAAAAGGAUUAAAAAAAUGAAAUGC